RNAcentral lists this ribosomal RNA (253 nucleotides) under uncultured bacterium. RNAcentral's name for it is "partial 16S ribosomal RNA". It matches the Rfam family "Bacterial small subunit ribosomal RNA", at positions 524 to 776 of the family's 1533-position model. The record is from RNAcentral.
GACGAACCGAGCGAACGUUGUUCGGAAUCACUGGGCUUAAAGGGCGCGUAGGCGGGUGCUCAAGUCCGUGGUGAAAUCCUCCGGCUCAACCGGAGAACUGCCUCGGAUACUGGGCGUCUCGAGUGUGGUAGGGGUAUGCGGAACUAUCGGUGGAGCGGUGAAAUGCGUUGAUAUCGAUAGGAACUCCGGUGGCGAAGGCGGCAUCCUGGACCAAUUCUGACGCUGAGGAGCGAAAGCCAGGGGAGCAAACGGG